RNAcentral lists this long non-coding RNA (504 nucleotides) under Homo sapiens (human). RNAcentral describes it as "HSALNT0387536". The record is from RNAcentral. Lineage: Eukaryota; Metazoa; Chordata; Mammalia; Primates; Hominidae.
CAUGGACUCAGUGGUCAUUACCAUGGGCUAUGAAGGCCUGGGCUCUCCCCAGCUCUGCCAUUUAUUGGCUGGUCAACAUUGAAAAAGAAACAUCUGUGCUUCCAUCUCACCAUCUGCGAAAUGGGGUAAUAACCCCCACCCCUACCACACCAGAUCAAAAGACAAAACAUUUCCAUCUCCUCAGGAAAUUCUCAUUCCAGUCAAUAUCUCCCCUUCUCCGCCUGUGACAACCACUGAUCGCCUUGCUGUCACAGUCAAUCCGUGAAAGGACCUGCUCCUGAACAUGCAAUCGAGCCGUGCAGGAGGUCAUCUUCUGUGCCUGGUUUGGAGAUUUCUGCAACAUGGUUGCAUCCCUCCAUGAGGCUUUCUUGCUGCUGAGUGGGAUUCCAAUGUCCCAGUGUCCACAUAGACUCCAGCUGGUUGACCCAUUCACUACGAUGGACACUGGGUUAUUUCCAUGGUGGGGUAACUAUUGAUAAAGCCACUGCAGAUGUGUUUACACAA